UUUCGAAUCAUUCACAAUGGGCGAAAGCCUGAUGGUGCGACGCCGCGUGAGGGAUGAAGGUCUUCGGAUUGUAAACCUCUGUCACUGGGGAAGAAACGCUGAAUCCUAAUACGAUUCAGCCUGACUUAACCCGGAGAGGAAGCAGUGGCUAACUCUGUGCCAGCAGCCGCGGUAAUACAGAGACUGCAAGCGUUAUUCGGAUUCACUGGGCGUAAAGGGUGCGCAGGUGGCCAAGUGUGUCAGGUGUGAAAUCCCGGGGCUUAACUCCGGAACUGCGCCUGAAACUGCUUGGCUAGAGCAUUGGAGAGGGAAGUGGAAUUCACGGUGUAGCAGUGAAAUGCGUAGAUAUCGUGAGGAACACCAGAGGCGAAGGCGACUUCCUGGA
Molecule: ribosomal RNA, 385 nt
Filed under: uncultured bacterium
Lineage: Bacteria
Description: bacterial SSU rRNA
Rfam family: Bacterial small subunit ribosomal RNA
Source: RNAcentral